UUAAGUUCAGCGGGUAGUCCUACCUGAUUUGAGGUCAAAUGGUCAAGUGUUGUCCUUGCGGACGGUUAGAAGCUGGAAGGCUUAUACACGCUAACGACCUGAAAGGCGUAGAUAAUUAUCACACCAAUAGGCUGAAGGCGCAAACCCAGCUAAUACAUUUCAGAGGAGCCGACUUGUAAAAGCCCGCAACCCCCACAUCC
This 200-nucleotide unclassified non-coding RNA is filed under the name Hohenbuehelia sp. RNAcentral describes it as "partial internal transcribed spacer 2". The record is from RNAcentral. Lineage: Eukaryota; Fungi; Basidiomycota; Agaricomycetes; Agaricales; Pleurotaceae.